This 468-nucleotide ribosomal RNA is filed under the name uncultured bacterium. RNAcentral's name for it is "partial 16S ribosomal RNA". It matches the Rfam family "Bacterial small subunit ribosomal RNA", at positions 28 to 507 of the family's 1533-position model. The record is from RNAcentral.
GACGAACGCUGGCGGCGUGCUUAACACAUGCAAGUCGAACGGAAAGGCCCUGCUUUUGUGGGGUGCUCGAGUGGCGAACGGGUGAGUAACACGUGAGUAACCUGCCCUUGACUUUGGGAUAACUUCAGGAAACUGGGGCUAAUACCGGAUAGGAGCUCCUGCUGCAUGUUGUGGGUUGGAAAGUUUCGGCGGUUGGGGAUGGACUCGCGGCUUAUCAGCUUGUUGGUGGGGUAGUGGCUUACCAAGGCUUUGACGGGUAGCCGGCCUGAGAGGGUGACCGGCCACAUUGGGACUGAGAUACGGCACAGACUCCUAAGGGAGGCAGAAGUGGGGAAUAUUGAACAAUGGGCGGAAGCCUGAUGCAGCAACGCCGCGUGCGGGAUGACGGCCUUAGGGUUGUAAACCGCUUUCGCCUGUGACGAAGCGUGAGUGACGGUAAUGGGUAAAGAAGCACCGGCUAACUACGUG